AGACGGCGAGAAACGUGCGAUGAUCCUGGAGGAUUAAUCAAGAAGACUCUUCAAAGUCUGAGGACUGGAAAGUUUGUAUGAAUCUAAGGAGUUCGAUUUCCGUAGAGUACGGAGAAGUCGAGAAUACAAGGUGAUGAAUCAGAAAAGUCCAGACGAGCCUGGGAGCUCUCAAAAGUGGAAAGCUGACACUGGAGUUAGAUGGUGAAUACCAUGAUUUGACGAGUCGACAGUUGUUCUGUGCCGAACUUUCCUUAUUUCCCCAAGCAAAGUCGGGAUUGUUA
RNAcentral lists this long non-coding RNA (281 nucleotides) under Lathyrus oleraceus (garden pea). RNAcentral's name for it is "Pisum sativum (pea) long non-coding RNA (PSAT_LNC018579)". The record is from RNAcentral. Lineage: Eukaryota; Viridiplantae; Streptophyta; Magnoliopsida; Fabales; Fabaceae.